UUUGAAGCACAGAACAAGUCUUCAUCAGACACAGAAUUUGCUGGCACCUGGAUUUUGGACUUUCCAGUCUUAUGAACUGAUUAGCUCAAAUUCUUCUUGGAAGGGCUUGCAAGGUUUGCAGGAGGGUGCACAGUCGAUCUGGGGAGAGAAGUAAACACAAGCAAUGAAGAUAGUGGAGUGGCCUGGACGGGAAGCUUCUUUUACAAAGGAAGGAUGACAAGAGCCCACAGUUCUUAUUGUGUAGGUAAAAUGAGCCAGGGGCCAUGCCAACCGCAUCACAUGGAUUAUCACCUUGGAUUUUAACAGUAAGCCAAAGUAACAGGAAGAGGCAAUGAGAAGCCAGAGAGAAAAAUCAUGGACAACAGCAUGGGCAAUGGAAUCCUGGGACCGAACGGCUCCUGACAAGAGGAACCGUUGAAUGGCUCUAAGAAGAGGAACAACAUGAUUUGACUUAGGUUUUUGAGGGAUCUCUCCAGCUACAGAUUGAAGAAUGAUUGUAAAGAGGGUGAGUGGAAACAGGAGGCCUGGUUCAUCCUCUCAACUCUCUAUUUGUGUCCAGUCAAAAUUCGCAAUGCCAACACAAUAGUUUCUAGUCCCAUGAUCCACUGAGAAAAACAUGGAUUCUUUAAAAGUAAGUGGCAAAGUACCCCUGAUUUUGAAACAUGUAUGGUCGUGAUAUCAAGAGUGACAACCUGGGCAAAAGAGAGCCAUUGCAAAGAAGAAAGGCCUUUAGGGAAAUGGAGCAGAAAGAGGAAGCAGUCAUCACACUUUAUAGAAACUUUGUCAUCUUUGAAGAGUCUGAAAGUCUCUGUUUACCCUGCUUCUCCAGCCUGAGUUCCUUUUUUUUCUCCAUUCUGCUUGUUGAACUCCUGCCAAACUCCGAUUUUGACAUCAAAGCCCACCUUGAAUGCUGCUUGUCGCUAAAGCCAUCGCUGGCAUUUCCAGACAUUGUCAAUAUCUACUGGACUAAAGAAAUUCUCUACUAAUCAGAAAAGGAAUUGGUCUGUAUUGAAGCUGGAAAGAAAAUCAGAGGAGCCAAUGCUGUCAGAGUGCAUCCAAGGACCAUUUAAAGAUGUCCUGGCCGGAGGUCUGGGCUGUCAGGUCCUGCCAGCAGAAUGAAGAGGACAUGGAGGCAUUUUCAGAUGAAGAGAAACUAACAGGAUUUUUCAGCAGACUUACUCUAAAUGAAUGGCUACAGGAAAUACUAUAAAAAUAAAGGAAAUGAUAAAAGAAGAAACUUUGUAACAUCAAGAAAGAAGG
This 1260-nucleotide long non-coding RNA is filed under the name Homo sapiens (human). RNAcentral's name for it is "HSALNT0359816". The record is from RNAcentral. Lineage: Eukaryota; Metazoa; Chordata; Mammalia; Primates; Hominidae.